Oncorhynchus nerka (sockeye salmon) is the source of this 1021-nucleotide long non-coding RNA. RefSeq lists it as uncharacterized. The transcript is spliced from 3 exons. The record is from RefSeq and is a predicted model, not a curated record. NCBI's taxonomy places the organism in Eukaryota, Metazoa, Chordata, Actinopteri, Salmoniformes, Salmonidae.
CUUCACCCAACUUAUCUUAUCCCCAGAACACAGUAACUUAAUAACAUAAGUGUUUUUCUGACAUUUUUGGGAAAUUUAAGGGAAAAUAAAAAAUACAGCCCAAGCAGAGCCCCAAGUCCCAUGGAGACGUCCUCGAGGGCGUGGAUGUUCUCCCCAUCAAAGGCCAGCGGGAUUUCAUUCUCAUGGUGAAAUGGAUUUCCACCGAUGUGCAGUAAAGGAGUGAAGAGCGGUGAAAUCUGUGUCAACAAAACCUUCCUCUCCUCUGAAGACCCAGUGAGGGUGGAGCUCAGUCAGAGAGCUGUUGAGGGACUGGUUAGGAAGAACACUUCUACAGCCAGAGAGGGGCAGUCAAGAAAUGGAACGGCAAGGCCACAGAACAUGACAUAAGCAGAGCUGUGGGAGACCACCUCAAGCCCCUGGUAGAGCCGGGGGUGGUGUUCACCACUCCACCACGCCUUCAGCAGGCUGGAAAAGUGGGAUUGAUCUGUUUGAUCCAUUUGUCUGUUUCAGUUUUCAGUAGUUUGAUCCUUUGAUGUAUUGUUCAUUUAAACAUUUUUCAUUUUCAACAAAUGCACUGGGUUGGUUGAAAAGUGAUACUAAACUUACAUACCAUGCACUGAAUUGAUACUGUUUUUCAUACGUAGAUGGACCAUGCGCUAUAAUGACAAGGUAGAAGAUAAAUUCAGUCCAAAGAUGGACCAAAAUAUGCCUUUGCACAAACAGAAACUUAACUAAAAGACUGAGCAUUUUAAGGAAAUGUCAUUGAUUCAAAUAUUAACAAUUGGAUGCAACAUCCAAUACAAAUUAUAAACUUGUUUUACUCCAUUGUUUGUUGUUAUGUUCUCCAUCAAGAAACCCCCAAAAACUAAAUGUUACAUGAAUUGGAAAAAAUAUCAAAAGCAAAUGUGAUUGGUGAGGCAUGGAAUAAUAAAACAUAUCUUUGUCAGGCUGAAUGUUUGAAAUAUGAGGUGAUUUGAGUCAUGCUUCUUCAGUAGUGGAAUAAAGACAAUUAGCAUUUGAA